Molecule: long non-coding RNA, 3476 nt
Filed under: Sus scrofa (pig)
Lineage: Eukaryota; Metazoa; Chordata; Mammalia; Artiodactyla; Suidae
Description: lncRNA (ENSSSCG00040005735.1)
Source: RNAcentral
UUUUUUUUUUUUUUUUUUGGCUUUUGAGGGCUGCACCCACGGCAUAUGGAGGUUCCCAGACAAAUUGGAGCUGUAGUCGCCGGCCUACACCACAGCCAUAGCCAAGCCGGAUCCAAGCCAUGUCUUCCACCCACACCAAAGCUCAUGGCAACACAGUAUCCUUAACCUGCUGGGUGAGGCCAGGGAUCAAACUGGCAACCUAAUCAUUCCUAGUUGGAUUCGUUUCCGCUGCGCCAAGAUGGGAACUCUCGAUAUAUUACUCUUAUAAUCUAGUUCAUCUGACCUCAAAUGAGGAAUUCUAUUUCAGAGCACCGCUGGAAUAUAAAGACUAUCAUCUGGGGAUUAGAACUAGGCUGAUUGUCAGUUACGCAGCUUGGUAUUAGCAUCCUUGCCAUUUUCUAGGGAAUAAAAAGGCAACAUGAAAGAGUAUCUUUGCCACUAGUAUCUAGCAUUUAUAGAUUGCCCUUGCAUUUAUGAUAGUGCAAAAAAGAAGUAUAGAUCUUAAGGCAAAAUCCAUAGAAGAACCAAAUGGUCAAGAGAAGCAUGAUAGCCUUGCUGUUAAGGAUAGACCCUGGAGUCAGGUGUACUUCCUGUGCCAUGUGGGUAGUUACUUAACUUCUUUGAGCUUCAGAUUCAUUGCCCUCAUGUAAAAGGAGAGUUGUUAGAGGUUUAAGUAAAUAUGUGUGUGUGUGUGUGUGUGUGUGUGUGUGUNAAGGUAUAUAUAUCAUAUAUGAUAUGUAUCUUGUAUAUACAUCAUAUAUGAACCUUAAAAUAUAUAUUACUUAAAAUUAAAUACACAUAUACUGGAGAUAUAUAUAAUAAACAUUCAUUUAAGUUAUAUGUGGUUAUGUACAUAUAUUUACUUAAACUUAUGUAUAUGAUAAUAAGGCAGUUCUCGGCAGGCACUAAGCAUUGCUUAAAUAUUAACUAUUUUUAAUAUGUUGCCUUAUUUUUAUAUAUGAAGUACUAAUGAGUAAAAAAACUGAUUGAUUUGAUGGUUCUUUCUUUUCUCUGCUUUUUCUUUAAAGGUUCAAAGUUGCAGCAAAAUGUUACUUUUAAGAAGUUGAGUGGGAAUUCCCAUGGUGGCUCAGAGUUAACAAACACCAUUGAGAUCCAUGAGGAUGCAGGUUCAAUCCCUGGUCUCACUCAGUGGGUUAAGCAUCUGGCCUUGCUGUGAGCUAUGUGCAGUUUGCAGAUGUGGCUCCUGUGCCUGUUGCUGUAGCUGUAGCAUACAUAGGCCGGCAGCUGCAGCUCUGAUUGACCCCUAGCCUGGGAACUUCCAUAUGUCAUAGUGUACGGGGCCUUAAAAAGACCCCCCCCCAAAAAAAAAAGAAAAGAAAAAGUUGAGUGAACACACACAGAAUGAGAAACCCUAAAACAAGGUACUGAGUUAAUAGACAGGAUAGUCACUUCCUGAAUACAUAUAAAUGAACUCUUUGUAGAAUUAGCAGAGGGACUCUUAAUGGGCUUUUGUUUUAGAGGUGGUGGAUUGAUAUUCCAAGGCGAGGCCUGAAGAGAGACCUCAGGACAACGACCACUCUUCUAGCCUACUACUAACAUAGUAGCCUUGCAAAUAAGGAUAAUCCCCUACAAAUCAAAGCGCUAGAGGAUGAGCUUCAUCAGGACAGAGAUUUUGUCUGUGUUGGGUCACUGCCAAGUCCAGGCAAGUGCCUGACAAAUAGCAGAUUCACAUGAACUAUUUCUUGAAUGAAAUGAAUGGAUGAGAAAUCUUGACCUUUCCUUUAAAUAGGAUUAACAUUAAAAGCAAACAAACAAAAUAGCAGACUUUCCCACUUCCGGGUGGAUUUCUGACCCUGAGAAUACUGGUAAGCAAGUAAGCAAGGCUGAGAAGCAACGUGUGGACAGAAGAGGCAAUAUGUACAUUUAGGAUGUGUUCCAGAAGCCAUGGAUGUGGUGAAGUCUUCACAGGAAUGUGUGAUGUGAAGUAGUGCCACCCUUAACUCAGAGUCAUGCACAUGUGACAUAUCUGAAUUAUAAAUAUUUUGCUCAGUGUCUGACUAACUUUAGUGUCCAUAUGUAUACUUUUUUCUCCUCAGGUUUUCAGAGUGACAAAGUGACACUUUUACUCUCUGCAAACAUUUAGCUUACCUUUAACAGUUUCAACUCAAGCUCUGACUGGCCAAAACAAUCCAUGUGACAGGAUCUAUUUCACAGGUGGGGUUUAUCAUAAAGCAUUACUUACGAUUUAGCUCACAGCUUCUGAAAGUAGAUUAAAAUCAUGUAACAUUCUCAGAGCUAUGCCUGACUAAUCAAAUCUAAAUAUAUAUUUAUUUUUACUACCAUAGAAAACAGUUUUAAAAAAACAGAAGUCUUUUUCAUAGAAUAGUAAGUUAAUAAUCUGAAUAGAAAUAUAUAAUCAUUUGUAUAUACUGUAAGUUUUCCUAAUUAUCUUUGUAAUGAAAACUGAGAAAGUAUGAGUCAUCCUUGGCUGAGCCUGCUCAAUUCUCCUUGUCUUUUCUAAAUAUAAUAAAAACAGCAAACAAUCUUAAAGUACAUUAUUAAUUGAUUAGACAUGAUUUUUUAAAAUGAUUUACAUCAUCUCAUUUAACUUUUGAGCUUCCAGACAUUAAUAAAGAAUCACCAAAAAGCUCUUAAUGAUUUAUAAUGCAUAUUACCCCACCGGGCUUGGCCCAAGAACUCAGUAUGGGCCCAGAAGAAAACAGAAAAAUAUUUACAGGUGAGCCAUGGCAGAAAUAGGCUUAAAACACAUAUCUGUAUUCUCAGAAAACAAUUAGGGCUGAUGCAAUUAGGAUGAGUAUUACAGUUCAUUUUAUUCCAUGGAACUAUUUCCACUCUUGAAGCUCCAUGUAGCAGAGACAGUAUGGUUAGAACACUAUUGAAGGUGAUAGAAUUUUGCUUUGCCCUUGUACAUGUAAGGUAAACACUUUACAUUAUUACACAGAAACAAAAAUUUACAGCCAAAGAUAACAGAGAAUCUGAUUAAAGGUAACACAUUUGGCAUUUAAGGCUAACCCACAUUGGAAAGCAAUCAUUUCCAGGAUGGAGUUGAAAUAUCUUAACACAGUGUUACCUGUCUGAGUUGCUAGAAAAGAUUUCUCAUCUAAAAAUUGAUUCACAGGAUGUGUUUUCAAAUUUGUCAGUUGUUUUUUUUUUUUCCUUGUGUGCUAGACGGAGGCACUUUAAGAGCUAUUAACUGUAGUUUCAGGAAUAUGUGACACUGAGUUUAAUCAUUCAUUGGUAAAUAUGGCAAGGAAUUAAAAUGACCUUGGGUUAAAAUUAAGUAAACUAAUCAUUAAAUCAGAACAUUUUGCCAAAUCUUGUAAAAAUUACUGGUCUCUGACAUGAAUGACUGGUCUCUUAAAAAAAAAAAAAUAGUAGCUAUCGCUCACCUACACCCAAAUAAAUGAGUACCACAGCUUUCUGAUGUUAAGGUAUGAUGGUUUUGCUAUUUGGGCUAGUGAGGGUUUUAAAAUACUGACGAAAUAAGUACUCUG